RNAcentral lists this ribosomal RNA (194 nucleotides) under uncultured Gammaproteobacteria bacterium. RNAcentral's name for it is "partial 16S ribosomal RNA". It matches the Rfam family "Bacterial small subunit ribosomal RNA", at positions 338 to 524 of the family's 1533-position model. Lineage: Bacteria; Pseudomonadati; Pseudomonadota; Gammaproteobacteria. The record is from RNAcentral.
CCUACGGGAGGCAGCAGUGGGGAAUAUUGCACAAUGGGCGAAAGCCUGAUGCAGCCAUGCCGCGUGUGUGAAGAAGGCCUUCGGGUUGUAAAGCACUUUCAGUCAGGAGGAAAGGGUGUGAGUUAAUACCUCAUAUCUGUGACGUUACUGACAGAAGAAGCACCGGCUAACUCCGUGCCAGCAGCCGCGGUAAU